CCGGCUGCUUCCUGCCCCCACCCUUUCCCCGGGCCUGCUGUGCUGCUUUUGUGCCAAGGUUAGCCAGUCCCCCCUGUUGUGUUCCAUGUGCUUUCACCUCUGCCUCAUCUUUCCUCCCGUCCCUGCCCCGCCACCUCCCCAAAGAAUUGAAACGUCAGCUCAGGAUAUGGGGCCAAUCUCUGUGAGUCCAGCAUGUACCUGUCUCUCCCUAGUGUCCCUUCAGCCUGGGCUGACCAGUGCCCGCCUCUGGGCUUGACCAGUUCCCAAUCUCGUCCUCUGUCCCCAACUUCUUAAGCACAAUUGGGCUUCUUCCAUCUCCAGGUUUUCUGCCAUUCUUAACCAAGGCUGCCUCUUCCAACAGGGCGGGAAUCAGACCUACUCCCCUAGGUCACAACUCUGGGAAGGAUACAGAGCCCGGGCACUGAAAAUGGGACCUGGAAGUAGGGGAGGGGAGUAGGAGUGUUCCUCACUCCCACCUAGGAGGAAGGCAUCUCCGAUUCCAUUCCAUUGAUGCUGAGUGCCGGAGAUAAAUACAUUUACUGAAAGAAAAGCUGGAUAAAUGAGUGGAUGAAUGCAGGUCUGGUCCAUACAGGGCAAUUUACAUACAACAUCUUAAUUUGUCCUGGGAGGUGGGUAGCUCUACUUUACAGAUGUUCAAGUAACAUAAUGGAGGUCACACAGCAAGGAAGUAGCAGAGCCA
RNAcentral lists this long non-coding RNA (700 nucleotides) under Homo sapiens (human). RNAcentral describes it as "non-protein coding lnc-VAT1-1:1". Lineage: Eukaryota; Metazoa; Chordata; Mammalia; Primates; Hominidae. The record is from RNAcentral.